Molecule: long non-coding RNA, 5421 nt
Filed under: Hordeum vulgare
Lineage: Eukaryota; Viridiplantae; Streptophyta; Magnoliopsida; Poales; Poaceae
Description: long non-coding RNA (HVUL_LNC010482)
Source: RNAcentral
AUGUGUAAAAGUCUUAUAAUCUUCCGAGGUAGUGGGAUUAACAUCAUCUAAAGUCAUGACCACGCUCCGAACCCACUUUCACUACUAGGAAAAGGCUUGCUAGUGGCGCACCUGUUUUGGCUACUAAUGGCGCACUAUAGGUGCGCCACUAGCAUCACGCCAUUAGAUUUUUUUACUAAUGGCGCACCAGGCAGUGCGUCAUUAGUAUAGCUCAUGGUGCGCCAUUAGUAUGCCUCCCAGGUGCGCCAUUAGUAUGCCUCCCAGGUGCGCCAUUAGUAUGCCUCCCAUGUGGGCCAUUAGUAUGCCUCCCAGGUGCGCCAUUAGUAUGCCUCCCAGGUGUGCCAUUAGUAUAGCUCAUGGUGCGCCACAGGUUAUACUACCAGCUCUAAAAAUAUUCAAUUAUUAUCCUCACACCCACAAGAAGGUUCAAGAUAAACACAUAUUACACCAUAAUGAAAAUAUGUUUAUAAACAUGCACAUACAUUGAACGCAAGUUGACAAACAAAUUAACCUAGAGGAAGCAUAGUUUUGACCAUCUUAACAAUCAUCUAGAACACACAAGUCACAAGAAGAUAAGGACUAUUGGGUACUAUGAGAGACUUCACAUGGUCCAGAACACACAAGUUUGUAUCUACAUGCACAAAGUGCAAGCUCCAAAACACUCGAAACACCAAAUGGUCUACAAGACAAUAAGGUCCAUGAUUACAGGUUGGUUGGUCCAUAAACGCUAGAGAGUCAUCAUGUCCAUGUGCAUCAAUUGGUUGAGUACCUAAAAACAUUUUGCACAAAUUUGUCAAGAAAGUGGAACCAAAUCAAGUUGUUAAAAUCUCAUAUGCGUAUUAAAAAUAUUCGAUCAAAAGAUUAUCAUGGUAUCAUAGUUAACAAUAUAGUUUCUAUAAAAGUUAUAAUCAUCUCACAUGCUAUUAUAUAGAACUAUGUUCCAGUGCUUGUAGUUUUAUCAACAAUGAAUGCAUUGAGCAUCUUAAACAAAGAUUGUCAUGAUAUCAUAGUUAACAAUAUCGUUUCUAUGUGGUUAUUUUCACACGUUGACACACAUUUGUCUUCUACUAAUAAGAAACUAACAUUUAUUAUCAUGAAGUUAAGGAGUGUGUGCUCAUCGUAGUAAUCAUAUAAGUAUGAUGGCACCAACACAUUCUGAUGUAGGUGCAGUCAUCAUGACCUUCCACAUAAUUAAGGACAGAAACAUCUAUCUAAAUAAAUGACAAGAGUACAAAACAAAAGACAGAUGAAAUUAAGUUGAUUAGCUUGUAGAAUCAGGGAUAGUGGUGAGCUUAGGCAGCUUUGAAAUAUGAUUUUUUAGAAUAAAUUAAGUUGUGUAUAAUUGUAUAUACCACCUGAAAAAUGAUGCCUUUAGUAUAAACCAUGGAAGCCAGAUUUCAUAAGACAUUGCUUCGGCCGAGUUUGGCAUUGUAUUUUUUUUCAAAAUCACACUACUCUAAAAUCACAGGAUUAUAAUGAUGAUUUUAAUCAACCACCACAUACACUGGUAUCUCGGAGGAAAAAAAAUUAGUCGGCAAUUAUUUUUUAUCUACAAAAUCAGAACUUAAACUUUGUUGUUGCUUCAAUAAAAACUUGCAUAUUCAGUUUUAAUUCGCGAAAGAUGGGUUUCAUCUCUCUGUUCUGUUUCUAAAAGUGAAUGGCACAACUAAUCACAAACCUCCUACAAUCUGACCAGUAUAUGAUUUUCAUCAACCACCAAAUGAGUCAUACUAAGCUAUCAUAUGCGUAUUCUCAAGAUACAGUAGCAGGUGAACAAAUAUUCAGUGUUAAUGAGCGUGAUAUAUCACAGAAAUUGCCAUUGCUUUGCUUGGCAAAUGAUUUGGACAAACAUAAAGUAAAAAUGAACAAUGUGCAAGUUUCUCCUACCGGCAUUCACCCCAUUGAUAUCCUCUGUGAGAAUGAGAUCAAGCGAUGCAUCAAAAUCACUAUGCCCAAUCACCGAGAACAAAAUCUCUUCCUUCAGAAAAACAAUCAGGAGAAAAAGAACUUAUGUUAACUAAGUAAAUAAGCAACUCAGAGGACCUCAAAAUAUUCUUGUAAACUUAGUGCUUAGAACAAGAUUCCAUAAGGCUUACCAACGAAAUGUCACGGUUAGUAACCAGAGUGUAAUUUGUCUUCUUCUCAAAGUGUUUCUUUCAGCAUAUGCCAACUCUGAAUAAUUUAGAAAUAACAAGAUUAUCAAAUUUGAGAAUGUUCAAGAGAAAAUGUGCAAUACUUGCUAGGCAAACUCAUAAUUAUGGAUUAUCAGGUGAAAAAAACCAAUUCACAUAGCUAAACAACUGUUUUGGUCGUUAGAUAAACAAUCAGAUAAUCAGCUCGAAAAUAGGCAGUACAGAGUAACAAGUUGAACUGUUUACAUUUUAUAGAACUUCCAGAGAACAAACUCAUUAUGUAUACAAGUAAAAGCACUCCAUGUAUAGAUUCACCGUUUCAACAUAACAGAGGUAGCGACUUUGAUGAUGAUCAGAUUAAGCAAAACUAUCAUUUCAGAAUUCACAUUAGCAAAGAUCAAACAAAAUCAUAUGACAGCUCUAUCAACUCCUUCUUAACAGUUGGGACGAACAACAUCAAGAUCAAACUCAAGAAUAAGUAGGUCCAUGAGUUCACCAUCAAUCAUAUUCGUAACACAUCAUACGCAUCUCACAUGUUACACUAAAAAUGGAAAUUAUGCAGAUAUAUGGCCUAAGUGAUAUAAAGAUCCAGGACAGUUAUACUUGAGCACUAACAGGAAACAUGGUGUCAUUUUGAAGAACAGAUCAGUAUUCAAGUCCCCCACAAACCACAAUCCUAGUCAGACAUAGCAUUGUCCUUUAUACAAAUUACCAAACACCGGAAAAUGGUGACAAGACUCAAUUGUUUCGAGAACCAGAAUUCACCAUAACCAGUGUAGGUUCGUACUAGCAAAAAUAAUCAUAAUAAAUCCUUUCACACAUAAUUGAAUGGUAUUUUAGCUCUGCACCUAAAGCCUUUAAGCAUAGAAUUUAACUUCACGAGCAACACUGAGUACAAAUUAGAGAUUUGUUUACAUAGAUUCCAUUUUUUUAAUUAUUUGAUCCUUUCAUUUUUAUUCUUGAUUGAAGGUAACCGAUCCUGAUGAUCGGUCUCAUACAUUGUAUGACUACAUGAUUCGCCAGAAUCCUUCGGUGGGUACAAUGAUGGAAUUGUCAUAUAAUUCCGUUGUGGGAAUGAGUGAUCAUGAGAGCUUCAUAUGAUUGAAAUUAAACAUACUGAAGUAUUAAGCUCCUAUUCUCACAUUGCAAGAGUGGCCGAUGCAGGAACAGACUUUGCAGCUUUUGUCCAGUACAUUGGAGUCCCUUCACUUGACAUAUCUUAUGGACUAUGUAUGUGUGCUCAUUAUUUUAUCGGGUAAUCAUGCAGUGGCGAGCAUCUGGUUUAUCGGGUAAUCAUGUACUGGCGAGCAUCUCGUGUCUGACUGCCUUGAGACUUGCAGAUGAUGAGAUCAGAUCAUUCCCUUCAAUUAUGUCUCCUACGGGUCCAAACAGGAGGUAUCUUUUCUUCUGGAAAGUGAGAUAUGCAACUUUUAGACACACAGGGUAGUUCCCUCAUUUAGUUUCAUCAAGGAAACUAAAACAGAAUCAUGAUAUAGACUCGCUUCUUAUUGAUUGGUACACAGGUUUUCAUGAAAUUAUCAUUAAGUGUGGUGUGUAGAAGUAGCUCCAAGAAUUACAAGGGUGCAAGGGCCUUAUUUCUUAUGGAAUUGUAUUUUGUUAUUCAUAUGUGGAUUAUUGACUUGCCAAAUCAUUGACCUCCUAUAGUAUGAUUAGAUCAAUAUAAAGAGUGUGGAUUCUAUUUUUUUAACAAACUCCCAAAUGAAACCAUUGUCCAGUGUUUAUAUUGGUUGGUGGUAACAUCUACCUUAUAGUUAGGUGGCUAUUUGAUCAAAAUAGAAACUCUCAAGUCCGUAGAUGACCUACAAACACAGAGGAACGUCUCAAAAGGCGCACCACACGUGCGCCCCUCCCCCUAGUCUAGUUUAAAUGGACGCUACACAAGGAUGAUCUCAAGGUUUCGCAUAGUGGAAACAAAUGCUGAGAUGCUGAAUGCCCUGAUCAAGUGUCAUAAAAGAGGAACCAUAAGUGUGCAAGCAAUCAGCUAGCAACUUGACCAUAGUCCUUGAAAUUUUUCUUAUGCAAAUGUCACAUGCUAAGGUAUCUGUAAAGUACUUAUCAUAAAUCAAUAAACACUCAGUUGGCCAGCUGAGUCUACAUCCGAAGGGUCAAUCCAGAAGCUUGGAUGGAAAAUAAAAAAAUAAAAAAGAGAAGAGAAAGGAGUACCGCGAGAGACGCUCUUUCAGAUGUUCAUGCCUUUUGAGAACACCCAACACUGCAAAAUAAAAGGGCAAGUACGGGUAAGACAGUAAGUAAGUAGGGCAAGCUACUUCGUAGAAUCGAUAACACGUGGGUAAGAGGCAGAUGAUUCCUUGAGGGUACAAGAUAAUAAUAGCUACAACUACUGAAGAUAAAGGUCAUUACGCCGUGUACACGUGGUCUCGAGUUUCGCAUCGUCGUCUCUUGAAUAAGUCUGCAAAAGUUCAUGGAAGGGAAGGGGAGAGGCAAUUAACACAUAUGCCGAAGAUUUUACAAUACCAAUCCAUCUGUAGAUGAUAUGGUAUACCAGUUCCGAUAACGAGUGCUGCCGACGCCUCAGCUGCUGCCCGUGCUGGAAAAUGUAAUAAUGGGAUUAAACUGAAAGAACUGUGAAAUUUGAGUUCCUGAUGGAUUUAUCCGGCUAGACUAGACACGGUAAAUGCAGCAGUAGCAACAAGCAUCGUUGAGUAACGGGAGGGAGGUGGGUUUUCGGCCGGUCGUACGCACCUCCGUGGGGGAGCUCAGGGCCAGCGUGACGGAGAGGUCCAUCCGGCCCGAUGCCGGCCAGGGGCGGCGGAUCUCGACAGCCGCACCAACGGCCGGGGCGGAGGCAGCAGGGGCGGCGCGACGGGGUAGAACGGGGACGGCGGUGGCGUCCACGCGCGCGAGGCGCGGUGGGGAUGAGCUGUCGGCGGUGGCGCGGCGGCGGCGCUAGGGUGGACCCGCAGGAGGGAUUUUAGGACGGCGAUUUUGCGGAUUACUAGGGCUUGGAGGCCGCGUUGUGGUCCACACACCCGUGGGAGAGAUGGAUGGCCGCCGGGGUGAAGACGACCGCCGGAGGUCGAGGUGGGGAAUCCGCCGCUGGGCGUCGCCGGUUAGGGGUGAGCGCCGCCGGCGCUAGGAGCACAGGAGAUCGAUGACGACGGCCAAAGGAGGGCGGAUCUGGGCGUGCCAUGGCCGCCGACUAGGUGGAACUCCCUCCCUCCUCCCUCUUUUUGCUAUUUUGCGGUCGCGAUAGGAGCAGAGAGAUAACUUUUUUUGCAAAACUACUUAUGAUGCACCACCUAAAAAU